This 878-nucleotide ribosomal RNA is filed under the name uncultured bacterium. RNAcentral describes it as "bacterial SSU rRNA". It matches the Rfam family "Bacterial small subunit ribosomal RNA", at positions 28 to 879 of the family's 1533-position model. The record is from RNAcentral.
GAUGAACGCUGGCGGCGUGCCUAACACAUGCAAGUCGAGCGGCAGCGAGUUUCUCACUGUUUGCUCCUCUCGGUUUCAUUUGGAAUCGAUUUUUAGAGGAGUGAAGAGUGAGAAAUGUCGGCGAGCGGCGGACGGCUGAGUAAUGCGUGGGAAUUUGCCCCAAAGUGAGGGAUAACCGCCCGAAAGGGUGGCUAAUACCGCAUAUGGUCUUCGGAUUAAAGGAUUUAUCCGCUUUGGGAGAAGCCCGCGUCAGAUUAGGUAGUUGGUGAGGUAAAGGCUCACCAAGCCGACGAUCUGUAGCUGGUCUGAGAGGAUGACCAGCCAGACUGGGACUGAGACACGGUCCAGACUCCUACGGGAGGCAGCAGUGAGGAAUCUUCCACAAUGGGGGAAACCCUGAUGGAGCAACGCCGCGUGCAGGAUGAAGGCCUUCGGGUCGUAAACUGCUUUUAUUUGUGAUGGAUAUGACAGUAGCAAAUGAAUAAGGGUCGGCUAACUACGUGCCAGCAGCCGCGGUCAUACGUAGGACCCAAGCGUUAUCCGGAGUGACUGGGCGUAAAGAGUUGCGUAGGCGGAUAGUAAAGCGAAUAGUGAAAUCUGGUGGCUCAACCACACAGGCUAUUAUUCGAACUCGCUAACUCGAGAGUGGUAGAGGUAACUGGAAUUUCUUGUGUAGGAGUGAAAUCCGUAGAUAUUAGAAGGAACACCAAUGGCGUAGGCAGGUUACUGGGCCAUUUCUGACGCUAAGGCACGAAAGCGUGGGGAACGAACCGGAUUAGAUACCCGGGUAGUCCACGCCGUAAACGAUGGAUACUAGCUGUAGGGGGUAUCGACCCCCCCAGUAGCGAAGCUAACGCGUUAAGUAUCCCGCCUGUGGA